UUCUUUCUUUUUUUUUUUUUUUUUUUAAAGGCAGCCUGAGUCACAGCAGAUUGUUCAAUAAACGCCUCAUACCCGGGAUAAAGGGAGACAUUAUGGGAUGCCCAGGGGGGCUUUGGAAAUCAAAUACCAUGUUUGAAGUAGAACAAUUUGAGGUACAUUACAGAAAAGGCAAUUUGAAUUGCCAAUGAGGCGAUGCAUAUCUGCAUGUUAAUUAGAGCCGUGUCAGGCUCCAGUCUGCAGCUCGCUCUUGAUGGGCAGGAAUGUGCUUGUAGCUCUGCUGGGAGACGGCUUUUUUCCGAAUAAAUUAACUAGCUUUGUUCUACUGCUUAUUUUCCCGCAAACAAACAUGAAAUGCGCGAUCAAAAGGUGCGUCCGAAAUUAAAAUUAUUGAUUGAUAUAGUGGCCGUUUGAGAAUCUAAUUAAAUAAGACGUGGACAAAAGCUGAUAUAAUAGAUUGUCUCUGAGCUAGCAGUCAGAUUGCGCCAGGACUGCAAUUUAUCUUUCUCAAUGCAACCUGGAUAUUAAAAAUUGUAAUUACAGUGGUGAAAUGAUCUGAUCCGAACUAACCACCCCAUGGAAUCCUGUAUUUUUUUGUUCUUUAAAGGAAAACAUGAAAAAUGAAUGGAUGUGGAAAAGGCUACCCUGAGAAAGGGCUGAAAGACCUUGAGGGGAGUGACCUCAUAAGAAUCCGGGCAGCAGUACCGAAGGACAGGACUAUGUUCAUUAUUAGGGUUCUGGCCGAACAAAGGUGCAGUCUCAUCUUCCUUGGCUGCCCAGGGCAAGGAAUUCCAGAGGACAGGAGAGGAGGAACCAAAGGAACGUCAGUUGACACGGAACAGCAACCCAGACAACACGCAGAGGGGGGGCAGGCAGGGAAGCUCAAAGCACACCCAGAGGUGUUCCCUUUCAACACGCCCCAUCCCUCUCAGGGUUGGCGGGCUCAAAACGGGGGAACGUGGCGGGAUCAACGCGAAUCCCCUCGAUCUCGCUUCAACCGCUUGUAUUUAUCACAAUACUGUCGUUUCUUGUCGCACCUUUGAAUGACCUAAAGUGUCAGAAAAAUUCAAGCUUCGGGGAAAUGUGUGUUUAGCGUCUUUGCCCCUUUUAAGCUCGGCACAGUAUUGGGCCACGCACUAUAGCUCCUUAUUUUUAUAGUUACUAAAAUUGCAGGAGAAUAGUACUUGCUUAAAAAGGCAAGCGUACCCUAGCAGAACCAGGCUAAUGUCAUCCCAUAAUAAGCACCGCACAAUGGAAAUACUACAGGUUCACAAGCCGUACUGCAGGUUCUGGGAAAAGGCACAGAACAGGUAAAUUAUAAGGCUAAAAUCUUUUAGUGUGCAAUGAAAUAUGCUGAGUAUAUACAUGAAAAGAAAAUACCACCACCCCCCCCACACACACACACACCAUUUGUUGUACUUCAAAGGUAAACUAAAGCCAGAUGUGUUCAUACUGUAUUUCAAGGAUAUCUGCUGGAACUGUGCUUUCUUUUUUAAGCUGCUGUUAAAAUGUCAUUGUACUUUGCACAUGGAGGAUUAACUCUUCAUGUGCAUGGUUACCUCACACAUCGUUUGACUUCAUUUCGCAACUUCUACCAUUGUGAUUGGCUCCAGUGUUAGAUGCAUUUCUGAGCAUGCACAUUCAUCAUUUAUUUCCAAAAUGAAAAUUAUUCAUGUUUUUGGAAAAAAGAUAUGACAGAAUUAAAUUAUACAAACUGAACUACGCCAAAAAUUCCAUAUCCUUCUUUCACAAAUCGUCUAAUCAAAUUUCUAUAAAUACAACAAUCAUCAAUCAAGACAAGCUAUGUUGCAUAUUUCUCUCUCAUGUAUUAAUCUUAUUGUGGACAAGGUAUGAAAGAAGUGUACAAAUUUAAUGCAUUUAUUUUAUUCCAUUACACUCCAAUUAACAACAUACAAUGAUCCAUGCUAUUUAAUCACUGCUGAGAUACUGCAACAUUUUAUUCCAUUGGAAGUUUCAUUUAUCAACUGCAUAAUUUACUCAGUCAAACAAGCAUCAAUAUGGGAUUAUUACUUGGCGACCCACAUGCUUCAUGAUAUACCUGCAGCAUUUGACCCUCAGUAGCUAUCUAUCCAACAGCAUGGCACCUAGCUGGAGGUCCCUCAUUUUUCCCAUCAGUCAUUUAAACCAAUUAAUGACUUCUCAAUAUAAACUAUGAGAUCUCUGAGCAAGACUGGGAGGAGUAAUUCAGAGAGCCAUUUUCGUCAAAAUCCCAUUAGGAAGGUGAAAAAGACUCGUUGAUGUCAUAAAACUGAGGGAUUUUGUUUAAGGACUGGUAGGUGUUACAGAGCAGAUUACCGCUGGCUUUGUUUUCUUUCUUGUAAAAUUACAUUUCGGAGUUACUGGCUUUGAGUCACAACAAAAUAAAAUUUCUCACUUUGAGGUUCCAAACAUCAAGCACUCUUUUUGCUGUCAACAACUUGUAAUGGAAGAGCAAGGCUUCAUGUUAUUACAUAAAGUGUGCAGGCACAUGUAUAUGUGCUCUCAACCAAUCCACUAUAUGAACAAAAUAAAAUAACUGAUUUACGUUCAAAUCUAAUAUUAAAGACAGGGAAAUACCGGUAAGACCCUACAGAUCCAUUAGGUCUGCAGUUUAUGAAACUUUUUUUCUCCUAUCACUUCCUUAUAAUAUAUAACAACUGGUCAAAUGACCUGGAUUCUGUAUGACAGGCCACAGACAAUA
Molecule: long non-coding RNA, 2698 nt
Organism: Anguilla anguilla (European eel)
Lineage: Eukaryota; Metazoa; Chordata; Actinopteri; Anguilliformes; Anguillidae
Exons: 3
Source: RefSeq, a predicted model, not a curated record